This 263-nucleotide long non-coding RNA is filed under the name Capsicum annuum. RNAcentral describes it as "long non-coding RNA (CANN_LNC010444)". Lineage: Eukaryota; Viridiplantae; Streptophyta; Magnoliopsida; Solanales; Solanaceae. The record is from RNAcentral.
UACAGAAUACCUCAUAUGAGUAGAGCUUUUUUUCGAUCAUUUUCUCGGAGCUAGUUCUUCUCCCCUUUUUGUUGACCUUCUUUCAGCUUGCCGUUGCAUUUUAGGUUUUUUUUUUUUUUUUCCUAAUUCUUCAGCUUCCAUUCAUCUUGAUUUAGAUUUCCUCCCUCACUUCUUUUUUUAGAUUUCCUACCUCACUUCUUUCUUACCAUCUUAGGAGGAAGAACCUCAUCACUAUUCAUCACUUCUGGCUGAUGAUUCGGAGU